UACGGAGGGGGCUAGCGUUAUUCGGAAUUACUGGGCGUAAAGCGUGCGCAGGCGGUUUUGUAAGUCAGAUGUGAAAUCCCCGGGCUUAACCUGGGAACUGCGUUUGAAACUACAAGGCUAGAGUGUAGCAGAGGGGGGUGGAAUUCCACGUGUAGCAGUGAAAUGCGUAGAGAUGUGGAGGAACACCGAUGGCGAAGGCAGCCCCCUGGGUUAACAAUGACGCUCAGGCACGAAAGCGUGGGGAGCAAACAGG
Molecule: ribosomal RNA, 253 nt
Filed under: uncultured bacterium
Lineage: Bacteria
Description: partial 16S ribosomal RNA
Rfam family: Bacterial small subunit ribosomal RNA
Source: RNAcentral